This is a long non-coding RNA of Carassius gibelio (silver crucian carp), 628 nucleotides long. RefSeq lists it as uncharacterized. The transcript is spliced from 4 exons. NCBI's taxonomy places the organism in Eukaryota, Metazoa, Chordata, Actinopteri, Cypriniformes, Cyprinidae. The record is from RefSeq and is a predicted model, not a curated record.
AGGCAUUCGAUCGGCUGGUAGGUGCUGAUGUUGUGCUGCAAGAACAACAUGGCACGGGUUCAAAGCCUUAUUCAACUGAGAAAAUUGAUCAGCGUCAUGGUACAAGCGAAGUCUGAAUGGUUUGUUUCCCUGUUUCUUCUGCCUUGGCUGCACCAGCUGUGGAAACCAGACCUGGUGAGGACCCUCUCCUCCAUCCUCAACUAUUGAACCUCUUAUAUCACUCGGAUGAGGUGAUCUGGAUCCAGACUGGAGCUUGUGUAAAUCAUAGUUACCACGGGAUGAAGAUCCCAGCAGAAACAGAGAAACAAAUAGAGACAUCAUAAGCAUAGCUGGACAGACCAGCCUGUGAUCUCCUAAGACACCCAGAUUCACCCCUGGUCACGAUCAUUCCCUCACCUGUGUCUCAUCACAGUCCAUCACCAGUGUCUGCACCCUGCAUAUUGCCAAUAUUAUGGAUUUCUGUUCUGGAGAGAGAUGCCAUUCACAACAUAAUCUCUACACAAUAUCAAACUCAAAUAAUUUAGUCUUGCCAAACAGUUUCCCUGAUUUGUUACUGUUCACAAUGUAGCAUGGUCUUGCCUACCUUUGUCCAUUCAGUUAUUAAAAUGUUUUUAAUAUUUGUAUUGAA